CCAAAUGGGCCAGUGCAAAUCCUACUUGGAUAACUGUGGUAAUUCCAGAGCUAAUACAUGCAACUGAUAUCCCGAAGGCGGUGUUGGUGCUUGCUUGCCUUGCGCUGGCGUUGCCCUGACGGAUGCUUUUAUUAGACCAAGCCGCUGAGGACUUGAGGGUUCGCGCUCUCUUGUUUGACUCGUGUGAUGGUGACUCUGGAUAACCAAAUUCUGACAAGCGCACGUACUUCUCUUCUGAGCGAGACGGCGCUGCCACUUUCGAGUGUCUGCCUUAUCAGCUAUCAACCGUUCGUUAUGCGCGACCGAUGGCUUUGACGGGUAACGGGGAAUCAGGGUUCGAUUCCGGAGAGGCAGCCUGAGAGACGGCUACCACGUCCAAGGACGGCAGCAGGCACGCAAAUUACCCAAUCCCAGCAAAUGGGGGAGGUAGUGACGAAAUCUAACGAUGCGGGCGCCCUUUCUGGGGCCCCGCAAUCGGAAUGGGCACUUUCUAAACAACCUGUUGAGAACCUACUGAAGG
RNAcentral lists this ribosomal RNA (520 nucleotides) under Pallasea cancellus. RNAcentral's name for it is "bacterial SSU rRNA". It matches the Rfam family "Eukaryotic small subunit ribosomal RNA", at positions 117 to 554 of the family's 1831-position model. Lineage: Eukaryota; Metazoa; Arthropoda; Malacostraca; Amphipoda; Pallaseidae. The record is from RNAcentral.